UACGUAGGGGGCAAGCGUUGUCCGGAUUCAUUGGGCGUAAAGAGCGUGUAGGCGGCCAGGUAGGUCGGUUUGAAAACUGGAGGCUCAACCUUCAGAGGUCGACCGAAACCAUCUGGCUAGAGUCCGGGAGAGGAGAGUGGAAUUCCUGGUGUAGCGGUGAAAUGCGUAGAUAUCAGGAGGAACACCGGUGGUGUAGACGGCUUUCUGGACCGUAACUGACGCUGAGACACGAAAGCGUGGGUAGCAAACAGG
This 252-nucleotide ribosomal RNA is filed under the name uncultured bacterium. RNAcentral's name for it is "partial 16S ribosomal RNA". It matches the Rfam family "Bacterial small subunit ribosomal RNA", at positions 524 to 776 of the family's 1533-position model. The record is from RNAcentral.